GAGAGGGUGCUUCAAACUUUUUAAUCAGGACUGCAUUGUUCGUUCGCUCCUGGGGUUACAUAGACUGAAAUGGGGAAGCGUGACGAGUUUGUUUACAUGGUGCUGUAAACUCCAACUCAGGAGGACACUUCAGAGGAAUCAAGGUGUCUGUGAUGUUGAAACACUAAAGGAAGAAGAGGAGGACCACCAUUCGUUUCCUGGUCAGAACACAAGAGAAGAAUCUAACAGUGGUUUGGGGGCAUUGCAAGACCAUGAUUACCUGGAAACAUCUCAUAUUAUGGAAGAGCACAACAUCAUGCUCGCAACAUUUGUGUCUUGGAUCAGUUUUUCUUGUUUCUCUGCUGUAUGAGGCAGGGGCUUCUUUCCGCAGAUUUAGCUGUAAGGUUUCAAGGUCCCGUUUUUCCUGAUCCCAUUUUUUAAACUUUAGUUAGUGUGUAAUGUUGCUGUUAGAGCAUAAAUAAUACCUGUAAAUUAUAAAGCUCAAAAUUCAAUGCCAAGCGAUAUAUUUUCUUUAAUAGAAUUUCCCUUUUAAAGCAUACAGCAAACGGACGGUUUGGACUACAGCCCUCUACUUCCCGAUUGAAUGACAUCCAAAGAAGAGGUUUUUUUACUAAC
Molecule: long non-coding RNA, 615 nt
Organism: Paramisgurnus dabryanus
Lineage: Eukaryota; Metazoa; Chordata; Actinopteri; Cypriniformes; Cobitidae
Source: RefSeq, a predicted model, not a curated record